UGAAUACGAGACGCUAAGGCGUCGAAGUAGUGUAUGUCAUACUUCCAAGAAAAGCUUGCACUGUCAUAAGUAAAAAAUGCCUGUACCAUAACCGACACAGGUGGGUAGGUAGAGUAUACUAAGGGGCGCGAGAUAACUCUCUCUAAGGAACUCGGCAAAAUAACUCCGUAACUUCGGGAGAAGGAGUACCUUAUUCUAUAAGGUUGCAAUAACAAGAUCCAAGCAACUGUUUAUCAAAAACACAGGUCUCCGCUAAGUCGUAAGACGAUGUACGGGGGCUGACGCCUGCCCAGUGCCAGAAGGUUAAAGAAGUCGGUUAGCACUAGCGAAGCUGGUAACUGAAGCCCUGGUGAACGGCGGCCGUAACGAUAACGGUCCUAAGGUAGCGAAAUUCCUUGUCGGGUAAGUUCCGACCCGCACGAAAGGCGUAAUGAUUUGGAUACUGUCUCGGAGAGGGGCUCGGUGAAAUAGACUUGUCUGUGAAGAUGCGGACUACCUGCACCAGGACAGAAAGACCCUAUGAAGCUUUACUGUAACUUGAAAUUGAAAUUGGACUUUAUUCGCGCAGUAUAGGUGGGAGGUGUUGAUUAUAAUCUUGCGGGAUUAUUGGAGCCAUCAGUGAGAUACCACUCUUGUAAUGUUAGAUUUCUAACUUUGAAUCAUUAUCUGGUCAAAGGACAGUUUCAGGCGGGCAGUUUGACUGGGGCGUCGCCUCCCAAACGGUAACGGAGGCGUACAAAGGUUUCCUCUGAACGGGUAGAAAUCGUAUCUAGAGUGUAAAGGCAUAAGGAAGCUUGACUGUGAGACCUACAAGUCGAACAGGGACGAAAGUCGGUCUUAGUGAUCUGACGGUACUGAGUGGAAAGGCCGUCACUCAACGGAUAAGAGUUACUCUAAGGAUAACAGGCUGAUCUCCCCCAAGAGUUCACAUCGACGGGGAGGUUUGGCACCUCGAUGUCGGCUCAUCGCAUCCUGGGGCGGUAGUACGUCCCAAGGGUUGGGCUGUUCGCCCAUGAAAGCGGUACGCGAGCUGGGUUCAGAACGUCGUGAGACAGUUCGGUCCAUAUCCGGUGUAGGCGUUAGAAUAUUGAGAGGAGCCUUCUUUAGUACGAGAGGACCGAGAAGGACAUACCUCUGGUGUACCAGUUAUCGUCCAACGGUAAACGCUGGGUAGCUAUGUAUGGAGUGGAUAACCGCUGAAAGCAUCUAAGUGGGAAGCCCACCUCAAGAUAAG
This 1234-nucleotide ribosomal RNA is filed under the name metagenome. Its description in RNAcentral is "bacterial LSU rRNA". It matches the Rfam family "Bacterial large subunit ribosomal RNA", at positions 1564 to 2808 of the family's 2925-position model. The record is from RNAcentral.